ACAAUUCGUCCACUGUUUUAAUAAUGAUCAAACAUAGGAGAUUUAUAGCGUUAGAAAUUUUGGUAUAGGAAGUCUUGGAAAAAGAAUUUAUCUCUAGAAGCAUGGACAGCAUAAAAUGAAGUUAAAGGCCAGGGCAUGACCUCUACCUGUCACCAUUCUCCGACAGCAAAGAAAUGUGGGAGUACACAAGUCUUCCACAGCAUAUGAAGAGAGAAAGAAGUAGAUUUUCCAAAGAGAACAAAGUAUAUGCAGAAUCCAAAGUACAGGGAAGAAGAGGGAUAAUUUAAUUAAAUUAAUUGUAUAUUCUUUUUUUUUUAAAUUGUUUUAUUUUCAAAACGAGUUUACCUUAUUCUAAGGGGCUGUUCUUAAACAUAAUUAGCUACACACAUGGUACUGCUGAAGAUGUGCUUGUAUUUUAAGUUCUUUCAAUUUGCCUUCUUUUGCUUUGCUCGGUUUUCAACGUUGAGGAAUGGAUAAAUUUAAAUAUUUUUAGGAUUACAACAAUUCAAAAUAGUGUGUUUAGCAUUAUUAAAAAUAAUAUUUAUUUAUUUUUA
Molecule: long non-coding RNA, 554 nt
Organism: Cryptomeria japonica (Japanese cedar)
Lineage: Eukaryota; Viridiplantae; Streptophyta; Pinopsida; Cupressales; Cupressaceae
Exons: 2
Source: RefSeq, a predicted model, not a curated record